This 419-nucleotide ribosomal RNA is filed under the name bacterium. Its description in RNAcentral is "partial 16S ribosomal RNA". It matches the Rfam family "Bacterial small subunit ribosomal RNA", at positions 355 to 776 of the family's 1533-position model. The record is from RNAcentral.
UGGGGGAUAUUGCACAAUGGGCGAAAGCCUGAUGCAGCGACGCCGCGUGGGGGAUGAAGGCCUUCGGGUUGUAAACUUCUUUUGCUCUGAACAAGGCGCACCAUGGGGUGUGUUGAGUGUAGGGGUUGAUUAGCGCCGGCUAACUACGUGCCAGCAGCCGCGGUAAUACGUAGGGCGCGAGCGUUGUCCGGAAUUAUUGGGCGUAAAGGGCUUGUAGGUGGCUGGUUGCGUCUGUCGUGAAAGCUCAUGGCUUAACGGUGGGUUUGCGGUGGGUACGGGCUGUCUUGAGUCCAGUAGGGGAGGCUGGAAUUCCUGGUGUAGCGGUGGAAUGCGCAGAUAUCAGGAGGAAUACCGGUGGCGAAGGCGGGUCUCUGGGCUGUUACUGACACUGAGGAGCGAAAGCAUGGGGAGCGAACAGG